CAAAGACGAAAGUGUGGCACUGAAGCGCGUGGACAAUUACAGACAAGCUGAUUGAAAAGGAAAAAGAAACAUAUACUGUAUACUAUCGUUUAUACAAAUUCGAAUUUACAGUAUUUACAAUAUAUACAGUGUAUAUAAAAAGGACGAGAUGACAACUGCCGACAGAAGAUUACGGAGUCAAGUUCGCAAUCUCAGAGCGCAUUUCGAACGUAUGCUAGAUGAUCUGGACCGUGUUGAGGAGGAGCUGAAAGAAGGCGAAAAGAUGAAAAAGAAGCGUAAUAACCCAAAAAAAGGUUUAACGCCCAGGUUAAAAGCGUUAGCCUCGUAUUGCAUGUCGCCACAUACGAGCACUUUUCAUCAUUCCACUGAUAACGAUUCGGUCUUGACAUUCAAUUCAAAGACGGCACGAAGUUGUAGAAGAAAGAUUGAAGGCAAUUUACGAGAUGAGAUUCGAUCCGAUGAGGCGUACAAUGUGACUGAACUCAGUGCCAUCACCAGAGCGUCGUCUAGCAGAAAAUUUCAAAUGAGAUCAGAUAUUAGAAAAAGGCCAAAUUUAGGGCUUGCUUCCGUACGAUCGAGAAGGAGAUCGUCGGCGGUGGGCAAUUCGUCAAGAAAUAAGGAAAAUGAAUAUGGAAGAUCGAAAUCUUUUAAACCUUGCGCUAGUUCAACGAUGCUCGGCGAAAUAUAUGAAGAGGAAGGAGAAGAAGAGGAAGGAGAAGAAACAGUACAAGAAAAAACAAGGGAGAAGGAAAUAGACAACAGGCGACCCACAUUUUUAUCAGCAUCCCCACUGCCAGCAAACUCUUCAAUAACUCUGCAUCAGAUGGCGCAGCGAACGGUAUGUGGAGUUGAUGCCAUCUACCGACGUAAAGCGACAUCCAUCACCGGAUCUAGGUCCAAGCGUGGUGUGUUUGAAAAACUUUGAUUCUUCCGAUUCUUCCUUUUUCUACUUCCGCUUUCGAAACAGGUGCGAUUUGUAAUCUGCUAUUGUUUACAUUCGUCUCGCACGCGUUGUUUUUCUUAUUCCGUUACUUUUUUAAAGCUAAACUGAACAGCAUUUAAAACGUUAAUCCGUAUUUAUGUACAUUUAGU
RNAcentral lists this unclassified non-coding RNA (1092 nucleotides) under Dimorphilus gyrociliatus. RNAcentral's name for it is "hypothetical protein". The record is from RNAcentral. Lineage: Eukaryota; Metazoa; Annelida; Polychaeta; Dinophilidae.